Molecule: long non-coding RNA, 2917 nt
Organism: Sinocyclocheilus grahami
Lineage: Eukaryota; Metazoa; Chordata; Actinopteri; Cypriniformes; Cyprinidae
Source: Ensembl
CUCAUCAGCGCUGUGAAAAGUAACAAUCAUCACGUGACAACGCCGUCUACAUUACCAAUUUCAGUAACGCUCUGAAACAAUAAUUUACACUAGAAAAACGAAACGUGACAUCCUUAAAAUCUGUUACAUUUAAAAUAGAAAGUUAACAGUCACAAUAAUUUUACACCCAUCGUUUCUGACCAAUUAGAGACAUCGUUCGGACCGUUAAUCCCAGCCUGUGUUGGGCUUCGUGAGUCAUGCUAAUAGCCGUUCUAUCCGCUCGGUGUAUUUGUUUCUAUGAGAAAUCAAGAGGGAAAAGGCUGAGUAUGAAGUAAACAGAUGUUCUCAGUGUCUUGAUAACAUUCCAAACCUUUCACAAUCAACAACCACCUAAAUGUUUUUCGCAGUCUGUCAUCUGGCGAGGUCAGCGCGUUUCGGCCGAUGCGGAGGCGUUUUCCAUGAAUCCCUGCUGCACUACAGUAUGUGCAGGAGGCCUACAACUUAACAGUGGGUUGCAAGUUUAGUGGCCUCAAACAGGGAGGAGACCAUGAACCUCAACGAGAAGAAGCCCAACAAGUGGUGGACAGAACCGGACACGUUUGCCAUGCUGGCCCUCAUAGAGCAGAUGGAUCUGGUCCACGAGCUGGAUAAGAAGCGUCAGCGCAACGAAUCCCUCUUCCGACGCCUCAGGCUGAGUCUGGCAAAGCGGGGAAUCCACUUCACUGUCACCCAAAUCCGAAACCGUUGGAAGAGUCUCAAACACAAGUACCGUAAGAUCAAACUGGCCAGCUACCGAAGUCCAGCCGCUCGCCUCUCUGCCAUCGAGUCUUUCCGCUACUUCCAUAUGCUGGAUCACAUGUUGGUGCGCAGACCGAAGACGGGAGGCAGGGAGGACGACCUCACAGAUGCUCACGCCCUGCUAGGACGGUCACUCGUGGACCUGGAUGACCAUGCAGACAGUCCUUGGCCUGAAGGCAUAAUCCCUAAAUCUGAGCCUGAGAGCAUGUCUUCUAAACUUGAACCUGAUGUUGAUGACAGUCUGAAUCCAGAUGACGUGGCUGGUUCUGAGCCUCCAAGCUGGGCUGUAGGACCAGAUGAAGUUAUGACCCUGGGCUUGUCAGGAGAAUACCUCUAUGCAGUGAAGACCGAGCCACCAUCCCUAUGCACUCCCAACAGCACAGAAAGUACAAGAGACGCUGUUGACUUCAGCUACAAUGAUUUCCCAGGAACUUCUGAAGAGACUAGCAGCCUGAUCCUCCAGCAGCUAACCAUCCUGAACCACCGGCUUGGAGAACAGCUGGCCGAGCAGAGAGCCUUCCACUGCAGCAUGCUGGGAAUGAUGGAUCGCCAGAUCCAGGUCCUGGAGCAGCUCUCCAAUUUCACCAGGAACCACCAAUCCAAGCUUGAGACGCCGGACACGGACUCUUCAGUCAGUCCAAAUGUGCAUGAAGCUCAAACGCAGACUUCUGAGCCAUAUCCCACGUUCCUCAUGCCCAAAAGCGAACCAGCAGCUGCUCCUUGGAAGGUCUCCCUCUUGGAAGUCCACAAGAAGUCAACACACAGUGACACUGAGACUCCUCAAACCCCGGAAGGGUGCAAAGCAAACACCUCUAGCCCACCUUCUUUAGAGAUUUCGUCCUCAACCAAGAACGCUAUUGUGCUGAAUGGAUUGUGUAAGCACGAUUGAGUGCUGCUUGAUUGGGACAUUACACAUUCAGUAGGAAGAACAAAAGUCUUUUGUUCUGUAGAUGUUUCAGGUGGUGGUCUGAUCUGAAACAUCUACAUAUGCGUUUUUCAGUUUCAUAGGAAAGUAUUCAGUGCUCUGAUGUUUUAAUCAGUAACACUUUUUGAGAAAUAGAACAAUAGACUCAUUAUUUAUUUACUUUGGUUUGUUUGCCAACUAACACUCGAUGUGAAUCUUAGAUGGUAAGUAACUUAACAGUGACCGUUUCAAAAUUGCAGUUCGGACCAAGGUAGCUUUAUGUCUGUAAUCAUCUUGCAUUAUCUGAGAAAAAAGUGGGUUAUUGGUAAGCUUAAAGUUGUGUAAAAUAUCAGUUUCUUCCAAUUAGGUUUGGGACACACUUUUAAGGCUGAUUUUAACUAAAUAAGGUGUGUUAUGAAUUUCAUCAUCUAAUCUGAACUCCUAUGUGGUUAAGUAUGAACUUAUAAAUCUGUUAAUUUCAAUAACUGCUUGCCUCUUAUUAUAAAGUAAUAUUUCACUGAUAUGUGUCAUAGUAUUUUUGACAUGCUAAAUCAAUCAGCGUUGGGAUGUAACGCCACUAAGUCCAGCAAUCUUACUAGUACAUACAGAAAUUACAUUUAUGUUAAACUAUGGGUAUUGUCAAAAUGUUACUCAAAAGUCAUAAAGUGCUAAAAACAUGCUCGAGUAUAAGAAAGAAAAAAAAAAGUCAAUUUAACAUGUAAUAUCAUACUUAAGUAGGGCAAACUUAUUUUUAUAUGGCUUUGAAAUUGUCACAAUAUCCAGACUAUAUGGGGUCAGUUAGAUGUUUUAAUUAUUUAAAAAUAAGCCUCCUAUGCUCACUUGAUGCUCAUUUGAUAAAAAAAAAAUACAGUAACACGGUAAUAUUGUGAUAUAUCACGGUAAUAUUGUGAUAUAUCACAAUAAACUUAAUAAUGAACUUUACAGUCGUUUGGGUCAGAGACGAAAUCUGAUAAAAAAAAUACAGUAACACGGUAAUAUUGAACUUUACAGUCGUUUGAGUCAGAGAUGAAAUCUGAUUAAAAAAAUACAGUAACACGGUAAUAUUGUGAUAUAUCACAAUAAACUUAAUGAACUUUACAGUCGUUUGGGUCAGAGACGAAAUCUGAUAAAAAAAAUACAGUAACACGGUAAUAUUGUGAUAUAUCACGGUAAUAUUGUGAUAUAUCACAAUAAACUUAAUGCCGGGAUAUCUGUGGAGUCUUUCUUUUUACUAUG